AACGAACGCUGGCGGCAGGCCUAACACAUGCAAGUCGAGCGGACAUCUUCGGAUGUUAGCGGCGGACGGGUGAGUAACGCGUGGGAACGUGCCCUUUGCUUCGGAAUAGCCUCGGGAAACUGGGAGUAAUACCGGAUGUACCCUUUGGGGGAAAGAUUUAUCGGCAAAGGAUCGGCCCGCGUUGGAUUAGGUAGUUGGUGGGGUAAUGGCCUACCAAGCCGACGAUCCAUAGCUGGUUUGAGAGGAUGAUCAGCCACACUGGGACUGAGACGCGGCCCAGACUCCUACGGGAGGCAGCAGUGGGGAAUCUUAGACAAUGGGGGAAACCCUGAUCUAGCCAUGCCGCGUGAGCGAUGAAGGCCUUAGGGUUGUAAAGCUCUUUCACCGGGGAAGAUAAUGACGGUACCCGGAGAAGAAGCCCCGGCUAACUCCGUG
RNAcentral lists this ribosomal RNA (435 nucleotides) under uncultured bacterium. RNAcentral's name for it is "partial 16S ribosomal RNA". It matches the Rfam family "Bacterial small subunit ribosomal RNA", at positions 29 to 507 of the family's 1533-position model. The record is from RNAcentral.